GAGUUUGAUCUUGGCUCAGAUUGAACGCUGGCGGAAUGCUUUACACAUGCAAGUCGAACGGCAGCACGGGGGCAACCCUGGUGGCGAGUGGCGAACGGGUGAGUAAUACAUCGGAACGUGCCCAAUCGUGGGGGAUAACUACGCGAAAGCGUAGCUAAUACCGCAUACGAUCUACGGAUGAAAGCGGGGGAUCGCAAGACCUCGCGCGAUUGGAGCGGCCGAUGGCAGAUUAGGUAGUUGGUGGGGUAAAGGCUCACCAAGCCUUCGAUCUGUAGCUGGUCUGAGAGGACGACCAGCCACACUGGGACUGAGACACGGCCCAGACUCCUACGGGAGGCAGCAGUGGGGAAUUUUGGACAAUGGGCGCAAGCCUGAUCCAGCCAUUCCGCGUGCAGGAUGAAGGCCCUCGGGUUGUAAACUGCUUUUGUACGGAACGAAAGGCGCUUUCUAAUACAGAGCGCUCAUGACGGUACCGUAAGAAUAAGCACCGGCUAACUACGUGCCAGCCGCCGCC
This 514-nucleotide ribosomal RNA is filed under the name uncultured beta proteobacterium. RNAcentral describes it as "bacterial SSU rRNA". It matches the Rfam family "Bacterial small subunit ribosomal RNA", at positions 9 to 519 of the family's 1533-position model. The record is from RNAcentral. Lineage: Bacteria; Pseudomonadati; Pseudomonadota; Betaproteobacteria.